AGUAUUGGGAUGGGCCGUGGAGGAACGGGGAGAGUAUGGGAGGGUGUGCUAUUAGAGAGAGUGGGUUUGCUUUGAGCGAGAGGGUGGAGCUCGGGGAUGUUGUAGGGGUUUGGGAGGGGAGGAGAUUGGGGAUUGCUAUAUUUGGGAGUGAUGCAGAGGAUGAAGUAUUCUACGAACUUAGAGAGGAAAAGAUACAAAAGAUAGUUAGAGAGGUUAGAGGGAAUCAAUUGCUCUGAUCCGAAAGAUCCUGUGUGUUCGCUAACAGAGCCAAUAGGAGGGUGGUGAAAUUUGGGCAGAGGUUGGUUGGUUGCUAGAUCGAGGUUCUGCUAUGACAUCCAGAUGUGUUCUGCUUAAAGACGGGACGUUGAAGGAUAUGUCAAUCGGGGAAGAAACCGCAUCGAACUAAUGAUCUGCAGAGUCGAGUGGCGCAGGAACUUCUUUAAAGUUUUUUAUAUACAUUUUUACACCGUGGUAAUUUAGAGAGGGCAUCAAGAUGAUGCCUAAUUUGUGACCGUAUUCAUAUUAAUCUGCUCUAGAUUGCAAGUCUCAAAAGUAUAUUAACCGUCCCUAUCAGGUUCACAAUGCUUGUGGGAGUUGUAUAUUGGUACAAGAUGAAAGUGAGAGCCUCUAAAUUCUUCUAAAUGGGUACUGUCUGAUUUUCCAUCUUCUAAAA
Molecule: long non-coding RNA, 673 nt
Organism: Asparagus officinalis (garden asparagus)
Lineage: Eukaryota; Viridiplantae; Streptophyta; Magnoliopsida; Asparagales; Asparagaceae
Exons: 3
Source: RefSeq, a predicted model, not a curated record